AUGGGUUGGAUGCCCUCUUCAAAGAGAUGGUGGUGUGCGACCCCCUGCACCGGCAGUAUCUCCUGCUCCCCCCCAAUCCCCGACGACAUGGCCGCUCCGGUUGCGGACCACCUCAUGAUAUAUGGGCAGAGCUUCGCCGAGACCUUCCUCGUCCCUCCCGGCUACGACGACGAGGAGGAAGCUGCUACAGCUACGGCGGAGACGUCAUUCAGGGUGAUCUGGGUGGCGCUGCUCCAAGCUAAGCAGAUGGCCGUCGUCUUCUCUUCCCGCACAGGGCAAUGGCGAGCCCUGACUCGGAGCGUCUCGUUGCCUCUACCGGAUUUCACAGGGAUGGUUCACUUCAGGUCGCGCCAUUACGCCCAUGGCUGCUUCUACUGGAUUUCAGGUGAAAAAUUGCUGGUGCUUGACAUUCAGAGGAUGGAGUUCUCCAUGGCCGUCCACCCACCCUGUGCCAGAGCUCCGAGCGAUGAUGUGGCCAUCGCAGAGGCAGGCCAAGGCACGAUUCGGAUGUUUGUGCCUACACCCAACACAGCUCGCCGCAGUUUUACGGUUUGGCGAAACAAUGGUGGGAUUUCCACCCAGUGGCAGUGGCAGAUGGAGAAUGAGACAAUCUCGCUGCCUUCUGGGUCCUUGCUCACGGGUGCAGUGGGGAGGCACUUGCUCCUAUAUCAUGUCGGAAGCUCGUCGAUCAGGCGAGGCUGUUACACGCGCGGCGUCGACACAUUCCAGUUUGAGAGGGUGUGUGGUUCUGCUUCAUUGCCCAAACCGUCUCAUGCAUAUUGCAACUUUCCACCGUCGUUAUUAUCGGCACCGACAGUGUCAAGUGCCACACCCCACGCUGACGUCCAGGGAGAGGGGGGCGCUGUGCGGGUGCCUGAACUACAAGAAGCCGACCCUGGAGGCAUGGAAGUGCACGUCCUCGCAGCGGCCGCCCAGCUCUAA
RNAcentral lists this ribosomal RNA (942 nucleotides) under Triticum aestivum (bread wheat). RNAcentral describes it as "partial small subunit ribosomal RNA". Lineage: Eukaryota; Viridiplantae; Streptophyta; Magnoliopsida; Poales; Poaceae. The record is from RNAcentral.